GGCUCCUCUCAGGAUCGUUGGCUAGAGCCUGGCGCUGACAACGCCAAGGUUGCAGGUUCGAUCCCCGUAUGAGACA
Molecule: non-coding RNA, 76 nt
Organism: Podarcis lilfordi (Lilford's wall lizard)
Lineage: Eukaryota; Metazoa; Chordata; Lepidosauria; Squamata; Lacertidae
Source: the annotation of a GenBank genome assembly